CUGGUUACUGUCCAUGGGAUAUAAACUUUCUGUUUAUCAUGGAAAACGAAAUGCGCAUUGGUUUUUUGUGUGAAUUUAGUAGGUGUUUUGAAGAAAGCUUUAUGAUGUGAGUUUGCCUCACCAACCAUAUUGAUUUCCUCAAUCGAUCAAAGAAGUCUCCAUACGGCAUCGAGGAUGCCUCUAUUUUAACUUGACGUGCCGAGGAUUCUAUCACAAGGGAGCCAGCGAGCUAUCGGGAUCGAAGGAGAUUAACGUAACAUCGAAGACGUGCUUCAACAACAAUUAUGUCGGGUUAUGUAUCUUCAUCAAGAAAAUCUGAUAAACACAAAUAUUGGCCACAGAUGACUAUGCUGCGAUACUUACUUCAAUGACACGAGCAGAAUAAAUGCAGCGAUAAGAAGAACGAGAGAGGUUGAAUAUCCUAUGAAAGAUACACGUUUGAUCUUCCGCAGAGAUCUGGACAUAAUUUGGAUGUACUCCAGGUAAUUAUCGCUGAAACAGCCCAAGUAAGCCGCAGGUUGCCACGUUCCCUCCGGCGAACACGUCCGAAAAACAAAUUCUGCAAGUUAUUCCGGAACAAAGAGACAGGCUCUCAAACAGAUGGAGUCUGACAAAAUAUUUCGAGUUUCACGUCUGGUACAGCAGUUAGGCGUUGCUCCAAAAUGAAGGAUAUCUACAAUGGAUUUCGAGCCUAAACGACUUCACGUAUCCUCGAGCUUAGUAGAUCGUUCAAACUGACGAGAAACUUUCGUUCGCGGGUACGGACAAGUGGGACUACAAAACGAAGGCAGACAAGUUUGCAAAGUGAAUCGCCCUGACGCGUCCUUCGGUCAUCUCGAUUUGAUUCUUUUCAAGCGAAAAGUUUACGUAAUAAGCCCACGAUCACCCAAGCCCUGAAAAGAUGUUGGAUGCUGUAUCAGUGAAGUCCUCGUGUAACUCAUCCGUUCAUCCGGCUCAAUCGCUAUUUUUUCAAGGAAAAAACCCACAAAUAUAUCAAAGAUCUUCUACUCGCCAAGCACCAAACGUCAAAAUCCACUUGAUAUUUUGUGACCCGGUCCACCACAUCUGGGCAAGGCUGUCUGUACACAAACUAACCCGGUCCUACUUUUCGUACGGACGCUAUACACUUAC
RNAcentral lists this long non-coding RNA (1131 nucleotides) under Varroa destructor (honeybee mite). Its description in RNAcentral is "uncharacterized LOC111251479, transcript variant X1". The record is from RNAcentral. Lineage: Eukaryota; Metazoa; Arthropoda; Arachnida; Mesostigmata; Varroidae.